UCUCCAAUGGACCUUUUUUUUUUUUACAGCAAUGGCGGAUCGAGGAGGCUCUCAAUAGUUCCCGGAAGUUAGCAACAAAUGCUCGCAGCGCAGAUGCGCUUGUAAAGGUGGGGAAACCGUCCAUUCGUACUCCUUUCUCCGAGCGACUGGAGCAUCCCCAUGCAGCACAGCAAACCAUCGUGGAGACUAUAUGCAAGGACAACAC
Molecule: long non-coding RNA, 205 nt
Organism: Megalops cyprinoides (Indo-Pacific tarpon)
Lineage: Eukaryota; Metazoa; Chordata; Actinopteri; Elopiformes; Megalopidae
Exons: 2
Source: RefSeq, a predicted model, not a curated record